This is a long non-coding RNA of Rhipicephalus sanguineus (brown dog tick), 770 nucleotides long. RefSeq lists it as uncharacterized. The record is from RefSeq and is a predicted model, not a curated record. The transcript has 3 exons. Lineage: Eukaryota; Metazoa; Arthropoda; Arachnida; Ixodida; Ixodidae.
UUUAGCAGUUCCUGCACACGUUGUCUACGCGUGGCACUGGCUGAGAAAUCCGUAUAACUGCUCUAGUAGCGCGCCGGAAACGUUUGUCGGCAAGGCAUCGACAAACUUAGCAGUGCUUCCAAGAAGGCUAGCACGCGUUGCUAUACGUCCGCAGCGCACCGAAGAGCCUACACCUUUGAGGAAUCCCGCUUCGCUGCAUUGGUAUGGCGAAAACACGGUCAAUUCAAGCGGCAGCUGCCAAGUGUGCUUCUAUCGAAAGAUCACCAGAAACGUCCCGCACUGAAGAUAAACGGGACUCAUCCGCCAUGUCUUCAGUCGAUGAGGCGCGCCAUGAAAAUGAAAUACAAGCCGAGCUCCAAGGCAAGCAAGCGGAUAUCGGUUGCCUGGAAUUCAGCUCGUCCGAGAAGAUUCUGGGCAACAAGAGGGAGCGGCGUGUACACUUACUUGCACGCAGUGAUGAGAAGCCGCACGCGUGUACUGUGUGCGGCAAGAGAUUCGCUUACAAAUCGUCUAUGGCGAAACACGCUCGAGUGCACACGGGUGAAAGGCCACACGAAUGCUGGCUGUGCCCUGCGACGUUCUCCCAUUCGUUCUCUCUUACGAACCACGUGCGGACACACACCGGUGAGAGGCCACACGAAUGCACCCAAUGCGAGCGGAGACUCGCCGCCAAAGCGACCCUGUGGCGCCACAUGCUCGUUCAUUCGAGAGAGAAGCGUUUCGGCUGUGGUUUUUGUGCCAAGAAGUUUUCUAUUAAACAAAACCUCGUG